Molecule: small RNA, 173 nt
Filed under: Arabidopsis thaliana (thale cress)
Lineage: Eukaryota; Viridiplantae; Streptophyta; Magnoliopsida; Brassicales; Brassicaceae
Description: ATSL101660
Source: RNAcentral
AAGUAAAAAACUUACAGCAAUAAUUUUACAGCAAUAAUUUUACAGCAAGAAAAGUUACAGCUACAGCCAACACAGCUACAACAAAAUCUCCACAGCAAAAAAUCUAGAGUUACACCCCAACCAAUCAUCCACUUAGAUAACAUCGUAUUUUAGCUCAAUUUUACUAUGUUUUU